RNAcentral lists this ribosomal RNA (484 nucleotides) under uncultured bacterium. Its description in RNAcentral is "partial 16S ribosomal RNA". It matches the Rfam family "Bacterial small subunit ribosomal RNA", at positions 30 to 507 of the family's 1533-position model. The record is from RNAcentral.
AUUGAACGCUGGCGGCAGGCCUAACACAUGCAAGUCGAGCGGAUGAAGGGAGCUUGCUCCUGGCUUCAGCGGCGGACGGGUGAGUAAUGCCUAGGAAUCUGCCUGGUAGUGGGGGAUAACGUCCGGAAACGGGCGCUAAUACCGCAUACGUCCUGAGGGAGAAAGUGGGGGAUCUUCGGACCUCACGCUAUCAGAUGAGCCUAGGUCGGAUUAGCUAGUUGGUGGGGUAAAGGCCUACCAAGGCGACGAUCCGUAACUGGUCUGAGAGGAUGAUCAGUCACACUGGAACUGAGACACGGUCCAGACUCCUACGGGAGGCAGCAGUGGGGAAUAUUGGACAAUGGGCGAAAGCCUGAUCCAGCCAUGCCGCGUGUGUGAAGAAGGUCUUCGGAUUGUAAAGCACUUUAAGUUGGGAGGAAGGGCAGUGAGUUAAUACCUUGCUGUUUUGACGGUACCAACAGAAUAAGCACCGGCUAACUUCGUG